GACCCGACUGCUAUUUGGGUGAGAAUAAGCCAUGCGAGUCGAAUGGGAUACCUAAAUCUCCCAUGGCAAACUGCUCAGUAACACAUGAUCAACUUACCCUAUAGAGAAAAAUAACCUCGGGAAACUGAGGAUAAUGUUUCAUAGUUGAAUAGGCUUGGAAAAGUUUUUCAAUAAAAGGGAUAAGGAAAAUGGUCCUUAUCCGCUAUAGGAUAGGAUCGUGUUCGAUUAUGGUUGUUGGUGAGGUAACGGCUCACCAAGCCGAUAAUCGAUAGGGGCCGUGAGAGCGGGAGCCCCGAGAUGGGUACUGAGACAACGACCCAGGCCUUACGAGGCGCAGCAGGCGCGGAACCUCCGCAAUACACGAAAGUGUGACGGGGUUACCCAAAGUGCUCUUUCUAGAGCUGUGGUAGGUGAGUAAUAUUCCCUACUAGAAAGGAGAGGGCAAGGCUGGUGCCAGCCGCCGCGGUAAAACCAGCUCUUCAAGUGGUCGGGAUAAUUAUUGGGCUUAAAGUGUCCGUAGCCGGUUUAGAAAGUUCCUGGUAAAAUCGGGUAGCUUAACUAUCCGUAUGCUAGGAAUACUGCUAUACUAGAGGGCGGGAGAGGUCUGAGGUACUACAGGGGUAGGGGUGAAAUCUUAUAAUCCUUGUAGGACCACCAGUGGCGAAGGCGUCAGACUGGAACGCGCCUGACGGUGAGGGACGAAAGCCAGGGGAGCGAACCGGAUUAGAUACCCGGGUAGUCCUGGCCGUAAACGAUGCAUACUAGGUGAUGGUACGGCCAUGAGCCGUGUCAGUGCCGUANGGAAACCGUUAAGUGUGCCGCCUGGGAAGUACGGUCGCAAGGCUAAACUUAAA
RNAcentral lists this ribosomal RNA (854 nucleotides) under uncultured archaeon. RNAcentral describes it as "bacterial SSU rRNA". It matches the Rfam family "Archaeal small subunit ribosomal RNA", at positions 20 to 860 of the family's 1478-position model. The record is from RNAcentral.